Anopheles arabiensis is the source of this 1702-nucleotide long non-coding RNA. RefSeq lists it as uncharacterized. The record is from RefSeq and is a predicted model, not a curated record. NCBI's taxonomy places the organism in Eukaryota, Metazoa, Arthropoda, Insecta, Diptera, Culicidae. The transcript has 3 exons.
UUACUUGAAAAUUUAAUAAUGAUUUAAGCUUUAUUUGCUGAAAUAAUUCUACAAUCCGAAGUAAAUACACUAGCCUGUUAUAUUUUCCAACAAAUUAAACGCUGCAUUACUUGCAUAUACAUAUACAAAGGCAAACAUAUGGACCUCGGCUCGCUUCAAAGUACGUCCAAAAUCGAAAAGCGUUUGCUUGUAAUUGGACAUUUGAUGUAAAAUUAACGUUGUAGCUGCCAGUGGUUUGUUUCGGACGUAUCAUGCAUGAGCGAAAUGAAAAGCAGCCACUCAAUUCAAGUACCCGGAUAAAGUAAAACAAGCCCGGGGAUGGUGCUGCUGGGUGGGAAAUGGGCCGCGGGGCCAUGCUGUGGUUGUAUCGUUGUUGAUGAUAACAUAAACUUGCGGCUCGGCACGAGAACAUUCAUCCUCAGCCGCGUAUCCCCAAACACGAACAACCACACCGGAGCAGGAGGAGGGGAGAAUGGUGUGGUGUGGUGGGAAUCAGGAAAAAAUGUGAAGUAAAAGCCUUAAAAAAGUAAAGCAAAUAAAAGUUUGAGGGUUUUAAUUAGCGAUUUCCUUCGCUCGGCAGUGGGGCACAUACACACACACACAGGGAGUCCGCAUUUUGACGGGCGGGCAGAAGAUGAAAGGGAGACGUUGCUGCUGUUCACGUUCUUUCGCUUAGGAACCACGCGUUACAUUACACGGCCAGCAUUUGCAUAUCAACUUGUUUGCCGCUAUCUUGCCCGAGGAACUUUUCGAGCUCGUCUACAAAAACAUAACUUCGUGAGAUAGCGCAAAUGUAACGGACAUGUGUGUGUGUGUGUGUGUGUGUGUGUGCUUGUUGGAGUUUUUAAGAUGCGUUGAAAGUCAUAGAAAUUUGGUUCUUUUUUUGUGUGUGCAAACAGCAAUAGGCACAUUCGAGGUACGAUGUCGUCUUACUUUAAUAUAUCAAUGAUAAAAUACGAGGUUAGCUCUUCUUUAGUACUACUUGUAAUUGCUACUAUAACAAGGUUAGUUACACACUCAACACAACACAAAUAUGAACGUGUACCUCACUAAUUCCUUCAUCCUACAGCUAGACCGUCUGUACAACCUCAUUACAUCAUAAUCCUAGCAGCACGAUCAAAAUAUGUUUUGUUCUUAUAACAAAGGAACACUCAACCCAAAACGAACGGCACACACAUUAAGAUCCUUCGUAGUCAGCUCAAUUAACAACAUCAACAACAACAAAAAGGACACGCGUGGGCUUUAGCCGUGCCCGUGUGCCAAGAUGAACGUCCUAAUCUGCAGAUAAGACAAAUGAUGCUAGGGACAGCUUAAGGCCGAAAAAAGAAUCAAUUUUUCCGACUGAAUAGAAAUGCGAUGUUCGCACAGAUUCCGAGAACAGGAGAUUAUGCAGGUCACAAUUGUAUGCGCUGACACGUGUGCAGCUUCCGGUGAGUGUUUACGCGCUUUCAGUCAAAAGUCGAAGAAAAACGGUCCACUCAUUCUCAUCACUUUUACCGGGGGGUUCCCCGCCGGAAGCUACUCUAUUUGGAGCUUAGAUUUAUGCAUCACACUUUUACUGCAGCCAAAAGUGGAACACCUUCACCUCCAGCUGUUGAUAUAUAAGCAACCAACGUCGGCAGGCAAAAGGAAAACAGCUCUCACAAUGUCCCGGAUGCAUAUUUCACGGCACUGAAUGUCACAUAAAAUAUAGAAAUCUUUA